This 480-nucleotide long non-coding RNA is filed under the name Bos taurus (domestic cattle). RNAcentral describes it as "long non-coding RNA NONBTAT004192". Lineage: Eukaryota; Metazoa; Chordata; Mammalia; Artiodactyla; Bovidae. The record is from RNAcentral.
UUUAAAUCUGGACAAUUUACUUAAAUAGUAAGUUAGGCUUUAUUUCACAACAGAAUUGCUUUCUUAGAUCAGACAUACGGUCCCCCAGCUUCCAAUUUAGAAUCAAGGCAUAUUUUGAAUAAAGACAUAACUACUUGCCAAGAUUUCGACCUCAAAAAGCUAUGAACUGCAUGUUUACUAGCAAUAAAAUUUAAAGAAAUGGAAUAAAAAGCAUUAUUAUAUUAUGGUGCUAAAAAAUAACUUGAUUUCCCAGCCUUGCUUCUUCAAGAUUUCCCACCACUGCUCAUAUCCAGGUUUUCUAACAACCAUGGUCAGUCUCUUUAACUUCAUUCAAGUCUUUACAUAAAGUCUGCUUCUUGAUGGGAACUUGUCCAAAUACAACCUAUUUAAGUCCAAUGAUGUUCUUCAGUCAUAAAGAUUUCCAAAAUAUUGUAGUUUUCUAAAAAUCUGGCUAUAUUUUUAAUUUGCUUGGACAUUUUU